RNAcentral lists this small nucleolar RNA (132 nucleotides) under Vulpes vulpes (red fox). The record is from RNAcentral. Lineage: Eukaryota; Metazoa; Chordata; Mammalia; Carnivora; Canidae.
GCUCAUGUUUAGUUGUCCUGUGACUUUGAAAAAUCAUUUCAGCGAGCUGCCUUUGAGCCCCUGCUAUGCCUGCGCAUAACUGGGGCCACCUGGUUCCCCCGCCACUGACUCUUUUAACCGCAAGCAACAUGG